AAGUCGUAACAAGGUAUCCGUAGGUGAACCUGCGGAUGGAUCAUUACCAAUUUAUAUGUGUCGCUGCUCCUGUUUCGGCGGGGGGUAUGCGUACACAAACACCUCAAUGUAAACCGUUGAACCUUCUUACCUACCUUUGUAACACGUGGUUGACUGGAGGGGGUGCCUAUGCAUCUUCCAAUAGCAACCACCUGUUGCAUAUACCAUCAUAUAUACUACUCGUAUAUACUACCAACCAAACAAUCAAACAAACAAACUAUAUGAUUUUACUUAUAGGCUGAGUGGGUAACACCCUUAGCUUUAAUAAAAUAACAUAAUACAACUUUCAGCAAUGGAUCUCUAGGCUCUC
RNAcentral lists this unclassified non-coding RNA (349 nucleotides) under Ramicandelaber sp. Its description in RNAcentral is "partial internal transcribed spacer region". The stretch from base 1 to 46 matches the Rfam family "Eukaryotic small subunit ribosomal RNA", at positions 1786 to 1831 of the family's 1831-position model. The record is from RNAcentral. Lineage: Eukaryota; Fungi; Kickxellomycota; Ramicandelaberales; Ramicandelaberaceae.